AGCCAAGGAUUGACUAGGGCAAACCCGGUAGAAAAGCCUACCGAAGCUUAAAACCUGUUACAAAACCGCCCAUUAGUUAAUCUCCGGCAUCUCCUCUGACCUUCGCGGGUGUGUUCUUUGCGACUUUCCGAAGGUGAAUUUGCCCACCUCCCAGCGUGGGUGCGAGUUGGGGCACGACCGAUUGCCAGCUGAACAUCACGAUUGGCCCGUUCGCGGACGAGCAUUGCCGGUGAGGCACGCGGAUUGGCCUCGUGGAGGAGAUUUGGCCCAUUUGAGCACCGCAACGCAACCUAGGACGCUCAAAUUGUAGGCCCGGUCGGCCAUCUUGCGAAUAUUGUUGUCCAAUUGUCGUUUGGAGGCAACAAAACCAUCGAAACACGUGCUCGCCAUCGUACAAAAGUGUGAACACGCGGUGAUUUCGAGUGCUUGACGACCACUGACUGCGAGCGACCAGCCGAUACGCUCAUUUUCCGGCUUUGCAACCCCCUUCCGGUCGCUCAGUGGAAAUUAGGAAACUUUUCACGUGAAAUUCUACUCCUCAAACGUCUGAGGACUGCGGGUGGACUACCCGUCGGGAGUAACCGGUGCUGUCGCAGCGGAGACCAGGAGCUGGGUCGCGCGCGGAAACGUCGCACGCUCGAGGAAGCGUACUG
This is a long non-coding RNA of Culex quinquefasciatus (southern house mosquito), 653 nucleotides long. RefSeq lists it as uncharacterized. Lineage: Eukaryota; Metazoa; Arthropoda; Insecta; Diptera; Culicidae. The transcript is spliced from 3 exons. The record is from RefSeq and is a predicted model, not a curated record.